UACAGAGGUCUCAAGCGUUGUUCGGAUUCAUUGGGCGUAAAGGGUGCGUAGGCGGCGCGGUAAGUCGGGUGUGAAAUCUUGGAGCUUAACUCCGAAACUGCAUUCGAUACUGCCGUGCUUGAGGACUGGAGAGGAGACUGGAAUUUACGGUGUAGCGGUGAAAUGCGUAGAUAUCAGGAGGAACACCAAUAGCGAAGGCAGCUCGCUGGGACGUUACUGACACUAAGGCGCGAAAGCGUGGGGAGCGAACAGG
This 253-nucleotide ribosomal RNA is filed under the name uncultured bacterium. Its description in RNAcentral is "partial 16S ribosomal RNA". It matches the Rfam family "Bacterial small subunit ribosomal RNA", at positions 524 to 776 of the family's 1533-position model. The record is from RNAcentral.